GAGCCCAGAGCCUGAAUCAGCAUGUGUGUUAGUGGAAGCGUCUGGAAAGGCGCGCGAUACAGGGUGACAGCCCCGUACACAAAAGCGCAUGUGCUGUGAGCUCGAUGAGUAGGGCGGGACACGUGGUAUCCUGUCUGAAUAUGGGGGGACCAUCCUCCAAGGCUAAAUACUCCUGACUGACCGAUAGUGAACCAGUACCGUGAGGGAAAGGCGAAAAGAACCCCGGCGAGGGGAGUGAAAAAGAACCUGAAACCGUGUACGUACAAGCAGUGGGAGCACAGGUUUACCUGUGUGACUGCGUACCUUUUGUAUAAUGGGUCAGCGACUUAUAUUCUGUAGCAAGGUUAACCGAAUAGGGGAGCCGGAGGGAAACCGAGUCUUAAUUGGGCGUUAAGUUGCAGGGUAUAGACCCGAAACCCGGUGAUCUAGCCAUGGGCAGGUUGAAGGUUGGGUAACACUAACUGGAGGACCGAACCGACUAAUGUUGAAAAAUUAGCGGAUGACCUGUGGCUGGGGGUGAAAGGCCAAUCAAACCGGGAGAUAGCUGGUUCUCCCCGAAAGCUAUUUAGGUAGCGCCUCGUGAAUUCAUCUCCGGGGGUAGAGCACUGUUUCGGCUAGGGGGCCAUCCCGGCUUACCAACCCGAUGCAAACUGCGAAUACCGGAGAAUGUUAUCACGGGAGACACACGGCGGGUGCUAACGUCCGUCGUGAAGAGGGAAACAACCCAGACCGCCAGCUAAGGUCCCAAAGUCAUGGUUAAGUGGGAAACGAUGUGGGAAGGCCCAGACAGCCAGGAUGUUGGCUUAGAAGCAGCCAUCAUUUAAAGAAAGCGUAAUAGCUCACUGGUCGAGUCGGCCUGCGCGGAAGAUGUAACGGGGCUAAACCAUGCACCGAAGCUGCGGCAGCGACACUGUGUGUUGUUGGGUAGGGGAGCGUUCUGUAAGCCUGUGAAGGUGUGUCGUGAGGCAUGCUGGAGGUAUCAGAAGUGCGAAUGCUGACAUAAGUAACGAUAAAGCGGGUGAAAAGCCCGCUCGCCGGAAGACCAAGGGUUCCUGUCCAACGUUAAUCGGGGCAGGGUGAGUCGACCCCUAAGGCGAGGCCGAAAGGCGUAGUCGAUGGGAAACGGGUUAAUAUUCCCGUACUUGGUGUUACUGCGAAGGGGGGACGGAGAAGGCUAUGUUGGCCGGGCGACGGUUGUCCCGGUUUAAGCGUGUAGGUGUGUGUUCCAGGUAAAUCCGGUUCACUUUAACACUGAGGCGUGACGACGAGGCACUACGGUGCUGAAGCAACAAAUGCCCUGCUUCCAGGAAAAGCCUCUAAGCAUCAGGUAACAUCAAAUCGUACCCCAAACCGACACAGGUGGUCAGGUAGAGAAUACCAAGGCGCUUGAGAGAACUCGGGUGAAGGAACUAGGCAAAAUGGUGCCGUAACUUCGGGAGAAGGCACGCUGACACGUAGGUGAAGUGAUUUACUCAUGGAGCUGAAGUCAGUCGAAGAUACCAGCUGGCUGCAACUGUUUAUUAAAAACACAGCACUGUGCAAACACGAAAGUGGACGUAUACGGUGUGACGCCUGCCCGGUGCCGGAAGGUUAAUUGAUGGGGUCAGCGCAAGCGAAGCUCCUGAUCGAAGCCCCGGUAAACGGCGGCCGUAACUAUAACGGUCCUAAGGUAGCGAAAUUCCUUGUCGGGUAAGUUCCGACCUGCACGAAUGGCGUAAUGAUGGCCAGGCUGUCUCCACCCGAGACUCAGUGAAAUUGAACUCGCUGUGAAGAUGCAGUGUACCCGCGGCAAGACGGAAAGACCCCGUGAACCUUUACUAUAGCUUGACACUGAACAUUGAGCCUUGAUGUGUAGGAUAGGUGGGAGGCUUUGAAGUGUGGACGCCAGUCUGCAUGGAGCCGACCUUGAAAUACCACCCUUUAAUGUUUGAUGUUCUAACGUGGACCCGUUACCCGGGUUGCGGACAGUGUCUGGUGGGUAGUUUGACUGGGGCGGUCUCCUCCUAAAGAGUAACGGAGGAGCACGAAGGUUGGCUAAUCCUGGUCGGACAUCAGGAGGUUAGUGCAAUGGCAUAAGCCAGCUUGACUGCGAGCGUGACGGCGCGAGCAGGUGCGAAAGCAGGUCAUAGUGAUCCGGUGGUUCUGAAUGGAAGGGCCAUCGCUCAACGGAUAAAAGGUACUCCGGGGAUAACAGGCUGAUACCGCCCAAGAGUUCAUAUCGACGGCGGUGUUUGGCACCUCGAUGUCGGCUCAUCACAUCCUGGGGCUGAAGUAGGUCCCAAGGGUAUGGCUGUUCGCCAUUUAAAGUGGUACGCGAGCUGGGUUUAGAACGUCGUGAGACAGUUCGGUCCCUAUCUGCCGUGGGCGCUGGAGAACUGAGGGGGGCUGCUCCUAGUACGAGAGGACCGGAGUGGACGCAUCACUGGUGUUCGGGUUGUCAUGCCAAUGGCACUGCCCGGUAGCUAAAUGCGGAAGAGAUAAGUGCUGAAAGCAUCUAAGCACGAAACUUGCCCCGAGAUGAGUUCUCCCUGAGACUUAGAGUCUCCUGAAGGAACGUUGAAGACGACGACGUUGAUAGGCCGGGUGUGUAAGCGCAGCGAUGCGUUGAGCUAACCGGUACUAAUGAACCGUGAGGCUUAACCUUACAACGCCGAAG
RNAcentral lists this ribosomal RNA (2656 nucleotides) under Salmonella enterica subsp. enterica serovar Enteritidis. RNAcentral describes it as "partial 23S ribosomal RNA". It matches the Rfam family "Bacterial large subunit ribosomal RNA", at positions 295 to 2925 of the family's 2925-position model. The record is from RNAcentral. Lineage: Bacteria; Pseudomonadati; Pseudomonadota; Gammaproteobacteria; Enterobacterales; Enterobacteriaceae.